UCCGAAGAGCAUUGAAUCUAUUGUCAUCAGACUUUUACUCUUGCAAAAACAUUUUCAUGUUAUAUGAUGAUAGAUACGAGUAAAGAACCAGAGAAACUAGAGAAAAAAAAUUAAAGCAAGCAAAAAAGAAUGGGGAUGCCAUUCCGAGGGCUAAAUCUAAAUCUUCUACAAUGGCAAAGCCCAACAACCAAAGCUCCAUGCUACAAAGUAUAAAGUGGAAACUUGAAAAAGCAAAGCAAAGCUAAUAGCAAAAGCAAAGGAACAAAAACCACGCAAAGUGAGUAGGGAAGGAAGGAAAACUUCCUAGUUAUCUUCCCCCACGAAUGAGGAAAUAAAACCAACCCUGUGAUUGCUACAUUCUUGUAAUUUUCAGCUGUUUGAAUGAUUUUUAAGCUGAAUUUUAAGCUUUGGAUGUUGAUAUUCAAGUUGGCUAUGGAUGAGUUAAAGCUUCAUCAAUGGAUUUGAGUUAGCUUUGACUGACUACGAGCACUUCUCAAUUCAUACCUAUUUUUGUUGUUUUGUGAAUGCAUUGAAUUUUCCUUUCGGAUAUUCAUUCAGUUAUAACUGAAAAAAUUUAUUAAAAGUUUA
RNAcentral lists this long non-coding RNA (588 nucleotides) under Gossypium barbadense (sea-island cotton). Its description in RNAcentral is "long non-coding RNA (GBAR_LNC003424)". Lineage: Eukaryota; Viridiplantae; Streptophyta; Magnoliopsida; Malvales; Malvaceae. The record is from RNAcentral.